UAAUACGGAGGGUGCGAGCGUUAAUCGGAAUGACUGGGCGUAAAGCGCGCGUAGGUGGUUUGUUAAGUUGGAUGUGAAAGCCCAGGGCUCAACCUUGGAACUGCAUCCAAAACUGGCAGGCUAGAGUACGGUAGAGGGGGGUAGAAUUUCAGGUGUAGCGGUGAAAUGCGUAGAGAUCUGAAGGAAUGCCAGUGGCGAAGGCGGCCCCCUGGACUGAUACUGACACUGAAGUGCGAAAGCGUGGGGAGCGAACAGGAUUAGAUACCCUGGUAGUCCACGCCGUAAACGAUGUCUACUAGCCGUUGGGCAGCUUGACUGUUUAGUGGCGCAGCUAACGCGAUAAGUAGACCGCCUGGGGAGUACGGCCGCAAGGUUA
Molecule: ribosomal RNA, 376 nt
Filed under: uncultured Gammaproteobacteria bacterium
Lineage: Bacteria; Pseudomonadati; Pseudomonadota; Gammaproteobacteria
Description: bacterial SSU rRNA
Rfam family: Bacterial small subunit ribosomal RNA
Source: RNAcentral